Molecule: non-coding RNA, 82 nt
Organism: Perkinsus marinus ATCC 50983
Lineage: Eukaryota; Perkinsozoa; Perkinsida; Perkinsidae
Source: the annotation of a RefSeq genome assembly
GAAAGAGUGUCCGAGUGGUUAGGGAGGUAGAUCAGAAUUUCACGGGGCUCUGGCCGCGCAGGUUCGACUCCUGUCGAUCUCG